Camelus dromedarius (Arabian camel) is the source of this 1370-nucleotide long non-coding RNA. RefSeq lists it as uncharacterized. The record is from RefSeq and is a predicted model, not a curated record. Lineage: Eukaryota; Metazoa; Chordata; Mammalia; Artiodactyla; Camelidae. The transcript has 2 exons.
GGCGCUGCGGGACGGAGCCCCACAUAGCGCAGCCCGACGACCCAGCGCCUCGUAGUUUCAUGAGUCCCGCGCAUACAAAGUGGAUGUUCUCCUCCGGUGACAGCUCCAUCCUCCCUACAGGCCAGGCCAAAAACCCUGGAGGCUUAAGACCUGAGGGCCGUUCCUUCGCACCAGGAGAGCAAGACAAUGAGCCCGAGUGCCUCUCUUCUAAACUAACACAAAGAGGCUGCAGAGAAACCCAGGCCCAGAUGCUGCCAGCUGAUGGCGGGUCUGUGUUUGGUACCGUCUCCCUGCAUCUGCAGAGGCAGCUGGAAGGGCUUGGAGUGUGCAGGUCGCUUCCCAGCAGGCCUGUGCUGGCUAGGCGUCUGUCCUCGGGCCAAAGCUCACCUGCUGAGAGGCCAGGCUGGGUCCCAGAGGGUCGCCGUGGACCGUGGAACUCGGAGCGGGGCGUUUCCUGGAUACUAACGAGGUGGGAGCCUCGGUCCCCUUUACAAACAUUGCACAAGUAAGAUGUCAUGACUGCAGCCCUGAGGACCGGGGCCGCCGUCUCUCUGCUGGUGGGCUCCUCCUGUUCUCUUGCUGAUGCCGCAGCCUCUGCGGGAGUCCUAUUUGGAUGGGUGUUCAGGGGAAGCUGAGUCCGGGGUACAUUUCAUUUGGGAUGCAUAAAUGUUAUAUUGUCUGCCGUCAUGUGUAGCUAAUUUGCUGUUAACGGUGAGGUGUGGGAAUGGCUUCUCCAAAUGCUCUACCACCCACAGGGCCGGCUGGGGGCAGGGAUGCAGGGCAGGCGUCUCCUCGGGACAUGAGCGCUGUGUGUGCUCGGGUGCCUGGUGCCCUGCGACUGCGGAGUGCAGUGGAGCAAAGGUUCUAGACGUACGGGGCCAGAAGCUCCCUGCUAAGUGAGGAAAGGCAGAGGGUCCCUUCCAUCCUCUCCACAGAAAGACUAUUUUAAAAUUGUUCUCUUAAGAAGUGUGAACGAAAAACACUGCAAGCCAUAUCAGUAAACAGAGAAUACUGAAGCCAUCAAGUCAUCAGCUGCUGCCGCCGCCCCCCAGUGAAGACAGACCUGCAGCCCGACCUCUGCGGCCACUCACAAUGGUGCCCUCUGAGGGGACUCAGAAUAAGAAAGGACAGGACAUUGAAUUCAAUGAGCCCAAAUGUUUGCUUCCUCUGAUACAUAGAAAAGCACUAAAUUCUUUAACUUGAAAUGCCUGUUUUUCUUUAGAUAACAAGUAACCUUUUAUUGUUCCAACUACCUGGUCUUUGUUGUAAAGCUCCUGUAUAUCCCAGCUCCUCCCCUACCUCUUCGGAGCAGCCCCUCAGAGCCGUCAUCCCGGCUCAAGUCCUCCCGCCAAAUAAAACAUAACUCUCAA